Molecule: small RNA, 56 nt
Filed under: Arabidopsis thaliana (thale cress)
Lineage: Eukaryota; Viridiplantae; Streptophyta; Magnoliopsida; Brassicales; Brassicaceae
Description: ATSL185170
Source: RNAcentral
UUUUUAUGUUUGUUUUGAAGAGAUAUGAUGAUGGAAUUAGAUUUCCCUAUUGGUUU